AACCUGGUUGAUCCUGCCAGUAGUCAUAUGCUUGUCUCAAAGACUAAGCCAUGCAUGUCUAAGUAUAAGUAUUAUACAGCGAAACUGCGAAUGGCUCAUUAAAACAGUUAUAAUUCGUUUGAUAAUCGAAUUUACAUGGAUAACCGUGGUAAUUCUAGAGCUAAUACAUGCUGGUAGGCCCGACUUUUUGGAAGGGCGGUAUUUAUUAGAUAACAAACCAAUAUUCCUCUGGUCUAUUGUGGUGAAUCAUAAUAACUGAUCGAAUCGCAAGGUUUUUAACCGCGAUAAGUCAUUCAAGUUUCUGCCCCAUCAGCUUUCGAUGGUAGUGUAUUGGACUACCAUGGCUUUUACGGGUAACGGAGGAUUAGGGUUCGAUCCGGAGAGGGAGCCUGAGAAACGGCUACCACAUCUAAGGAAGGCAGCAGGCGCGUAAAUUACCCAAUCCUGACUCAGGGAGGUAGUGACAAGAAAUAACGGACCGAGGCCUUCGGGCUUCGGGAUUGCAAUGAGCCGAAUUACACCCCUUAGCGAAGAUCGAUUGGAGGGCAA
This 549-nucleotide ribosomal RNA is filed under the name uncultured marine eukaryote. Its description in RNAcentral is "SSU rRNA". It matches the Rfam family "Eukaryotic small subunit ribosomal RNA", at positions 1 to 558 of the family's 1831-position model. The record is from RNAcentral.